AAACUUGCCCCGAGAUGAGUUCUCCCUGAGACUUAGAGUCUCCUGAAGGAACGUUGAAGACGACGACGUUGAUAGGCCGGGUGUGUAAGCGCAGCGAUGCGUUGAGCUAACCGGUACUAAUGAACCGUGAGGCUUAACCUUACAACGCCGAAG
Molecule: ribosomal RNA, 153 nt
Filed under: Salmonella enterica subsp. enterica serovar Infantis
Lineage: Bacteria; Pseudomonadati; Pseudomonadota; Gammaproteobacteria; Enterobacterales; Enterobacteriaceae
Also listed under: 3 other names
Description: partial 23S ribosomal RNA
Rfam family: Bacterial large subunit ribosomal RNA
Source: RNAcentral